GACGAACGCUGGCGGCGUGCUUAACACAUGCAAGUCGAACGGAAAGGCCCUGCUUUUGUGGGGUGCUCGAGUGGCGAACGGGUGAGUAACACGUGAGUAACCUGCCCUUGACUUUGGGAUAACUUCAGGAAACUGGGGCUAAUACCGGAUAGGAGCUCCUGCUGCAUGGUGGGGGUUGGAAAGUUUCGGCGGUUGGGGAUGGACUCGCGGCUUAUCCGCUUGUUGGUGGGGUAGUGGCUUACCAAGGCUUUGACGGGUAGCCGGCCUGAGAGCGUGACCGGCCACAUUGGGACUGAGAUACGGCCCAGACUCCUACGGGAGGCAGCAGUGGGGAAUAUUGCACAAUGGGCGGAAGCCUGAUGCAGCAACGCCGCGUGCGGGAUGACGGCCUUCGGGUUGUAAACCGCUUUCGCCUGUGCCGAAGCGUGAGUGACGGUAAUGGGUAAAGAAGCACCGGCUAACUACGUG
Molecule: ribosomal RNA, 468 nt
Filed under: uncultured bacterium
Lineage: Bacteria
Description: partial 16S ribosomal RNA
Rfam family: Bacterial small subunit ribosomal RNA
Source: RNAcentral